AGUUGUGAAACCAGUCACAUACACAGAAAGUUAUAUACAAUAUUGAAGUUUUGCAUAUGAAUUUCUUACAAGAUGACUGCUAGUUAUUGGCUCAAAGAAUCACUUCUGAGGAUGUCAGACAGCAGCAGCGGAAUGGAAUACAAGUAAAAUUGCAUUAUAUUUAGGGGGCAAAGGGGAGCAGGGGGACUAAAUCAUGUUUUUAACAUU
Molecule: non-coding RNA, 207 nt
Organism: Pelobates cultripes (western spadefoot toad)
Lineage: Eukaryota; Metazoa; Chordata; Amphibia; Anura; Pelobatidae
Source: the annotation of a GenBank genome assembly